GGAGAAUUGCUUGAGCCUGGGAGGUGGAGGUUGCAGUGAGCUGAGAUCACGCCACUGCACUCCAGCCUGGGCAACAGAGU
This 80-nucleotide microRNA precursor is filed under the name Aotus nancymaae (Ma's night monkey). RNAcentral's name for it is "miRNA (ENSANAG00000009273.1)". The record is from RNAcentral. Lineage: Eukaryota; Metazoa; Chordata; Mammalia; Primates; Aotidae.